UACGUAGGGUGCAAGCGUUGUCCGGAAUUAUUGGGCGUAAAGAGCUCGUAGGCGGUCUGUCGCGUCGGGUGUGAAAGCCCCGGGCUCAACCUGGGAAUUGCAUUCGAGACUGCAUUGCUGGAGUACGGAAGAGGAGGGCGGAAUUCCCGGUGUAGCGGUGAAAUGCGUAGAUAUCGGGAGGAACAUCAGUGGCGAAGGCGGCCCUCUGGUCCAGUACUGACACUCAAGUGCGAAAGCGUGGGGAGCAAACAGG
Molecule: ribosomal RNA, 253 nt
Filed under: uncultured bacterium
Lineage: Bacteria
Description: partial 16S ribosomal RNA
Rfam family: Bacterial small subunit ribosomal RNA
Source: RNAcentral